UUAAACAUAAUACGUUUCACCACAUUCGU
This 29-nucleotide small RNA is filed under the name Bombyx mori (domestic silkworm). RNAcentral's name for it is "ovarian small RNA-36299". The record is from RNAcentral. Lineage: Eukaryota; Metazoa; Arthropoda; Insecta; Lepidoptera; Bombycidae.